UGGCGGGNCCUAACAUGCAAGNUCGAACGAGGUAGCAAUACCUAGNUGGCAGACGGGUGUAGUAACACGCCCNUUNACCGUUCCCUUUAGUGGGGGAUAACUAGCCGAAAGGUUNGCUUAAUACCGCAUACAAUCGGGUUCCGGCAUCGGAGUUCGAUAAAAGGAGCAAUCCGCUUAAGGACGGGACCGCGUCCCAUUAGUUAGUUGGUGGGGUAACGGCCUACCAAGACUCCGAUGGGUAGCUGGUUUGAGAGAGCGACCAGCCACACUGGGACUGAGAAACGGCCCAGACUCCUACGGGAGGCAGCAGUGAGGAAUUUUCCGCAAUGGGCGUAAGCCUGACGGAGCGACGCCGCGUGUGGGAAGAAGGCCUUCGGGUCGUAAACCACUGUCGAGGGGGAAGAUAUUGACGGUACCCCUGGAGGAAGCCCCGGCUAACUACGUGCCAGCAGCCGCGGUAAGACGUAGGGGGCAAGCGUUAUUCGGAAUUAUUGGGCGUAAAGCGCUCGUAGGCGGGACUGGAAGUCAGCGAGGAAAAACCUGGGCUCAACUCAGGGCACUGCGUGGAUACUCUAGUUCUUGAGGUAAUCAGAGGGUGAUGGAAUUCCCGGUGUAGCGGUGAAAUGCGUAGAUNUCGGGAGGAACACCAGUGGCGAANGCGAUCACCUGGGGUUAUUCUGACGCUGAGGAGCGAAAGCUAGGGGAGCAAACGGAUUAGAUACCCCGGUAGUCCUAGCCGUAAACCGAUGGAUACUAAGGUGUAUUUGGGUAUUCGACUCCAUAUGUGCCGUUAGUUAACAACANUAAUAUUCCCGCCUGGGGAAGUACGGNCCCCAAGGUUUAAACUUCAAAGGAAUUUAACGGGG
This 866-nucleotide ribosomal RNA is filed under the name uncultured bacterium. Its description in RNAcentral is "bacterial SSU rRNA". It matches the Rfam family "Bacterial small subunit ribosomal RNA", at positions 40 to 919 of the family's 1533-position model. The record is from RNAcentral.